UUGCUUUUCUGAAUCUAGUGGCGAACGGGUGAGUAACACGUAGGUAACCUGCCCAUGUGCCCGGGAUAACUUCUGGAAACGGAUGCUAAAACCGGAUAGGUAGCAGACAAGCAUUUGACUGCUAUUAAAGUGGCUAAGGCCAUGAACAUGGAUGGACCUGCGGUGCAUUAGCUAGUAGGUGAGGUAACGGCUCACCUAGGCGACGAUACAUAGCCGACCUGAGAGGGUGAUCGGCCACACUGGAACUGAGACACGGUCCAAACUCC
This 266-nucleotide ribosomal RNA is filed under the name uncultured bacterium. Its description in RNAcentral is "partial 16S ribosomal RNA". It matches the Rfam family "Bacterial small subunit ribosomal RNA", at positions 78 to 339 of the family's 1533-position model. The record is from RNAcentral.